UACAGAGGUGGCAAGCGUUGUUCGGAAUUACUGGGCGUAAAGGGCGCGUAGGCGGUCAUGUAAGUCCCGUGUGAAAUCCCUCGGCUUAACUGAGGAACUGCACGGGAUACUGCGUGACUUGAGUUCGGGAGAGGGAAGCGGAAUUCCGGGUGUAGCGGUGAAAUGCGUAGAUAUCCGGAGGAACACCGGUGGCGAAGGCGGCUUCCUGGACCGACACUGACGCUGAGGCGCGAAAGCUAGGGGAG
Molecule: ribosomal RNA, 245 nt
Filed under: uncultured Acidobacterium sp.
Lineage: Bacteria; Pseudomonadati; Acidobacteriota; Terriglobia; Terriglobales; Acidobacteriaceae
Description: partial 16S ribosomal RNA
Rfam family: Bacterial small subunit ribosomal RNA
Source: RNAcentral